This 1302-nucleotide ribosomal RNA is filed under the name uncultured rumen bacterium. Its description in RNAcentral is "partial 16S ribosomal RNA". It matches the Rfam family "Bacterial small subunit ribosomal RNA", at positions 43 to 1324 of the family's 1533-position model. The record is from RNAcentral.
CAGGCUUAACACAUGCAAGUCGAGGGGCAGCGCGAGGUAGCAAUACUUUGGCGGCGACCGGCGAAAGGGUGCGUAACGCGUGAGCAACUUGCCCGUAUCUGGGACAUAAGCGGUGGAAACGCCGUCUAAUUUCCCAUAACAACAGAGGGCGCAUGACCUUUGUUUGAAAGAUCCGUCGGAUACGGAUGGGCUCGCGAGACAUUAGCUAGUCGGCGUGGUAACGGCACACCGAGGCGACGAUGUCUAGGGGUUCUGAGAGGAAGGUCCCCCACACUGGAACUGAGACACGGUCCAGACUCCUACGGGAGGCAGCAGUGAGGAAUAUUGGUCAAUGGGCGCAAGCCUGAACCAGCCAUGCCGCGUGAAGGAAUAAGGCCCUAUGGGUCGUAAACUUCUUUUGUGGUGGAGCAAUAAGGCGUACGUGUACGUCGAUGAGAGUACAUCACGAAUAAGCAUCGGCUAACUCCGUGCCAGCAGCCGCGGUAAUACGGAGGAUGCAAGCGUUAUCCGGAUUUAUUGGGUUUAAAGGGUGCGUAGGCUGUGGGGAAAGUCAGGGGUGAAAGCCCGGCGCUUAACGCCGGAACUGCCUUUGAUACUUCUCCGCUGGAAUACGGAUGCCGUGGGAGGAAUGAGUAGUGUAGCGGUGAAAUGCAUAGAUAUUACUCAGAACACCGAUUGCGAAGGCAUCUCACGAAUCCGUCAUUGACGCUGAGGCACGAAAGCGUGGGGAUCAAACAGGAUUAGAUACCCUGGUAGUCCACGCAGUAAACGAUGAUAACUAACCGUCGGCGAUACACAGUCGGUGGCCAAGCGAAAGCGAUAAGUUAUCCACCUGGGGAGUACGUUCGCAAGAAUGAAACUCAAAGGAAUUGACGGGGGCCCGCACAAGCGGAGGAACAUGUGGUUUAAUUCGAUGAUACGCGAGGAACCUUACCCGGGCUCGAACGGCAAGUGAAGGAUAAGAGAUUAUGACGCCCUUCGGGGCACUUGUCGAGUGCUGCAUGGUUGUCGUCAGCUCGUGUCGUGAGAUGUUGGCUUAAGUGCCAUAACGAGCGCAACCCUUGUCGCAGUACAGCAAGUAAAGUUGGGGACUCUGGCGAGACUGCCACCGCAAGUUAGAAAGCGAUGACGUCAAUCAACCGCCUUACGUCGGCGACACACUGUUUCAAUGGCACUCAAGGAGCACUGGUGAAGGAGCGAAUCUCGAAGGUUCGUCGAUUGAUCGCACUCGACUCCUUGAACUGAUCUGAUCGCUACCAUGCGGAACUCGCUGUACUCCCUUCACCAUAACCCGGGUCUGAG